GACGAACGCUGGCGGCGUGCCUAAUACAUGCAAGUCGAGCGAAGUUUUUCUGGUGCUUGCACUAGAAAAACUUAGCGGCGAACGGGUGAGUAACACGUAAAGAACCUGCCUCAUAGACUGGGACAACUAUUGGAAACGAUAGCUAAUACCGGAUAACAGUAUUUCUCGCAUGAGAGAUAUUUAAAAGUUGGUUAUGCUAACACUAUGAGAUGGCUUUGCGGUGCAUUAGCUAGUUGGUGGGGUAAAGGCCCACCAAGGCGACGAUGCAUAGCCGACCUGAGAGGGUGAUCGGCCACACUGGGACUGAGACACGGCCCAGACUCCUACGGGAGGCAGCAGUAGGGAAUCUUCCGCAAUGGGCGAAAGCCUGACGGAGCAACGCCGCGUGAGUGAAGGAGGAUUUCGGUUCGUAAAGCUCUGUUGUUAGGGAAGAAUGGAUAUGUAGUAACUAUACAUGUAAGAGACGGUACCUAACCAGAAAGCCACGGCUAACUACGUG
Molecule: ribosomal RNA, 499 nt
Filed under: uncultured bacterium
Lineage: Bacteria
Description: partial 16S ribosomal RNA
Rfam family: Bacterial small subunit ribosomal RNA
Source: RNAcentral